GGUCCGUUCGUAUAGUGGUUAGUAUAGUGGAUUUUGAUAUUACAAUAUUCCAUUGACCCCGGUUCGAACCCGGGACGGACCU
Malassezia caprae is the source of this 82-nucleotide non-coding RNA. Lineage: Eukaryota; Fungi; Basidiomycota; Malasseziomycetes; Malasseziales; Malasseziaceae. The record is from the annotation of a GenBank genome assembly.